GCCCGCCUAGCUCAAUCGGAUAGAGCGUCAGACUUUUACGGUCUGGGUGGGUUCGCCGCUCAACGGUUUAAUCUGAAGGCUGCGGGUUCGACCCCCGCGGUGGGCU
Postia placenta Mad-698-R is the source of this 106-nucleotide non-coding RNA. NCBI's taxonomy places the organism in Eukaryota, Fungi, Basidiomycota, Agaricomycetes, Polyporales, Adustoporiaceae. The record is from Rfam.